AAUCUCUUUUAUUUUGUAAAGGAAUGUAGACAAGUAGCCAACUACAGCUAGAUAGGAUAUCGAGCCUACUAACCUGAUUUUUUACAACAGUACAUUGACGAUAUGAAUGAGAAUCAUCAGCUAAUUCUCUUUGUGAUUAUGAUGGUAUUUGUAAGAAUCAUACCCAACCACAUUCAUGUCUUCGUGUGUCCAAAUAAUCUUUGGUAAUGGAUAAAUCUUUUGCUUACAAGAUACAUUAACUUGUGGCAAUUAAACUGGUGAAGGAAAGGUUGCCAACAAACAUCAAAUCAAAAGGUGAUUAUAUAAGCAAGAGGAUAAUGGCCAAACAUAUGCUUUCAGGUUUUGGCAGCAAAAAAAUAUCACGGAGCACAACUUUCAGAGACUUAACUAUGGAAAAAUAUUACUAAAAUUGGAUUUAUUUCCCAUAGGGAAAAUAAACGAGAGUGAAUGUUCAGUCCUGUUCCAAAUCCUUGUUAAAAAUACUCCAGCUAUUAAAACUGCCAAUUAUAUAGUUUCUGACAGUUCUUAGAAAUACACCUUGACUUUGUCUUGUCUAGUACUCGAAUAUUGCAUUGCACAUAUCCUAAAGUAGAAAGUUGGCUAAUAUGGAACUGAUGGCCCAACAUAACAUCAUACCGCGCUUUAACCAACAAUCAAAUAGGAGAUAAAGAGUGUUUAAAAACGAAAUGACUCAUUGUAAAUAAAUAUAACUGCAGGAAGGUAUACCCGUGACAUUGCUGAAACGCCA
This 748-nucleotide unclassified non-coding RNA is filed under the name Hevea brasiliensis (rubber tree). The record is from RNAcentral. Lineage: Eukaryota; Viridiplantae; Streptophyta; Magnoliopsida; Malpighiales; Euphorbiaceae.